RNAcentral lists this ribosomal RNA (604 nucleotides) under uncultured Staphylococcus sp. Its description in RNAcentral is "bacterial SSU rRNA". It matches the Rfam family "Bacterial small subunit ribosomal RNA", at positions 839 to 1442 of the family's 1533-position model. The record is from RNAcentral. Lineage: Bacteria; Bacillati; Bacillota; Bacilli; Caryophanales; Staphylococcaceae.
CUUAGUGCUGCAGCUAACGCAUUAAGCACUCCGCCUGGGGAGUACGACCGCAAGGUUGAAACUCAAAGGAAUAGACGGGGACCCGCACAAGCGGUGGAGCAUGUGGUUUAAUUCGAAGCAACGCGAAGAACCUUACCAAAUCUUGACAUCCUCUGACCCCUCUAGAGAUAGAGUUUUCCCCUUCGGGGGACAGAGUGACAGGUGGUGCAUGGUUGUCGUCAGCUCGUGUCGUGAGAUGUUGGGUUAAGUCCCGCAACGAGCGCAACCCUUAAGCUUAGUUGCCAUCAUUAAGUUGGGCACUCUAAGUUGACUGCCGGUGACAAACCGGAGGAAGGUGGGGAUGACGUCAAAUCAUCAUGCCCCUUAUGAUUUGGGCUACACACGUGCUACAAUGGACAAUACAAAGGGCAGCGAAACCGCGAGGUCAAGCAAAUCCCAUAAAGUUGUUCUCAGUUCGGAUUGUAGUCUGCAACUCGACUAUAUGAAGCUGGAAUCGCUAGUAAUCGUAGAUCAGCAUGCUACGGUGAAUACGUUCCCGGGUCUUGUACACACCGCCCGUCACACCACGAGAGUUUGUAACACCCGAAGCCGGUGGAGUAACCAU